AAAGUCAUUUAUAAACCCAUUUGGUCUCUCUAUUUUCCCUAUCUCACUUCUUUUGAGACAUGUCCAUCAACCAUUUCUCUUCACAACUUCCUACAGAACCAUUAUUCUGGUAUAGCCCAAAACAACACUACAAUUUCAUGGAAUCAACAAGCAAAUCCUCAUCUCCAAAUCACAAUAAUAGCAACCAAUUAGACGAAAUUGAAAUCCCAAAAGAACAUUUAUUCGAGAAACCAUUAACUCCUAGCGAUGUAGGGAAGCUCAACCGAUUAGUCAUCCCUAAACAAAACGCGGAAAAAUACUUCCCGCUUAACGGUUCCAUUAAUGACUCUGGUGAAAAGGGAUUAUUACUGAGUUUCGAGGACGAAUUGGGUAAAUUAUGGAAAUUUAGAUAUUCAUAUUGGAAUAGUAGCCAGAGUUAUGUAUUAACUAAAGGAUGGAGUCGUUAUGUUAAGGAGAAAAAAUUAGAUGCUGGUGAUAUUGUUUUAUUUGAGCGACACCGGUUAGAUGGUGACCGACAAUUUAUUGGGUGGAGGAGGAGGAACGCCGCCGCUACAACCACCGUUGCUCCGCCGGGUGGUGGUGGUGGGUGGGCCCAUCCUUAUCCAUCAGCAGGUGUUUCAUACCAACCUGGCUUUAUUCAUGCUGGAAGAGGAGUAAUGCACAACCAAACUACAACAAAUGGGAACAAUACAAGGAGACAAGUAAGGUUGUUUGGGGUGAACCUAGAGUGCGAGGUAGAUGAGUCGUGCUCAGAGCCAUUGACCCCAGAUGGCUCAUCAUCAUCGAGCCACCACCAACAAAGUCAUGAGUAUCAGGGUCAAGCUAGCCAACACUAUUACCAAUACCAAGUCCAUUAUUCCAAUCCUCAUGUUGUUCCUGCAGCUGCUUCCUAUAAUAAUAACAGCUACAAUGACAUGCAGGCAACUUCCAAAAACUUGAAGCAAACUUCAAUGAACCAAAAGAUAUUGUGUUAAAAUGAGUAGCUUUGGCGAGGCAACUUUAGGAGAACAAAAAAAAAAAAAAAAAGGGGGAGCAAUAUAGUCAACUUUGCUGCUCACUCCCAGAGUCAGACUUCUAUUUGGUAACCAAAUCAAACUCUGCAAGCUGGCAUAUCAAAGACUUAUGUUGAUAUGGAUUACUCGAGAAAUGUCAACCAGAUGAGAUAUCACCAGGGAUAAGAUCUGUGGAUGUGACAUAAGGAUUCACUAUUAUGGGCCACUUGGAAAAUGGAAUAUCAAAAACAAGCAAUUAAAAGAAAAAAGAAAACUAAAAAGGGAAAAAUCCCAGAUUUUCUGGCCACCUGCUUCUCCCAGAAAGGUGAUGUACGUCAACUUCAACAACUCCAAGUCCAGGGGAAAGCAAAUGAAAAUAAAAAUAAAAAUUGCAACUUUGAAAGAAACGUGAGAGUGUUUUGAGGUGUGAGGAGCUGAACAGUGGAGCAGAGGUGGGCCAUCCAAGUAUAGAUUGACGUAAACAAAGGCCCAAAUGGAAUAAUAUGGGCCGUUUGUAUACAAAAAUCUUGCCGACCCAACUUGUUUGAUACUGAAACGUAAUUAUUGUUUGUUUGCAAGAAUUUAUAAAUAAAUGCAGGAUGACAUCCUUAACAAGAAGUAUAGGAACCAAGAGGAAAUAUAAUGGAGAUUACAAGCGUUCAUGGUUCA
Molecule: RNA transcript, 1661 nt
Organism: Lycium ferocissimum
Lineage: Eukaryota; Viridiplantae; Streptophyta; Magnoliopsida; Solanales; Solanaceae
Gene name: B3 domain-containing protein At2g36080-like
Exons: 4
Source: RefSeq, a predicted model, not a curated record